GAUGAACGCUGGCGGCGUGCCUAAUACAUGCAAGUCGAACGAAACUUCUUUAUCACCGAGUGCUUGCACUCACCGAUAAAGAGUUGAGUGGCGAACGGGUGAGUAACACGUGGGCAACCUGCCCAAAAGAGGGGGAUAACACUUGGAAACAGGUGCUAAUACCGCAUAACCAUAGUUACCGCAUGGUAACUAUGUAAAAGGUGGCUAUACUACCGCUUUUGGAUGGGCCCGCGGCGCAUUAGCUAGUUGGAAGGGUAAAGGCUUACCAAGGCAAUGAUGCGUAGCCGAAUUGAGAGGUUGAUCGGCCACAUUGGGACUGAGACACGGCCCAAACUCCUACGGGAGGCAGCAGUAGGGAAUCUUCCACAAUGGGCGAAAGCCUGAUGGAGCAACGCCGCGUGGGUGAAGAAGGUCUUCGGAUCGUAAAACCCUGUUGUUAGAGAAGAAAGUGCGUGAGAGUAACUGUUCACGUUUCGACGGUAUCUAACCGGAAAGCCACGGCUAACUACGUG
Molecule: ribosomal RNA, 512 nt
Filed under: uncultured bacterium
Lineage: Bacteria
Description: partial 16S ribosomal RNA
Rfam family: Bacterial small subunit ribosomal RNA
Source: RNAcentral